UAGGGAAUCUUCCGCAAUGGACGCAAGUCUGACGGAGCAACGCCGCGUGAGUGAAGAAGGAUUUCGGUUCGUAAAACUCUGUUGUUAGAGAAGAACAGCGCAUAGAGUAACUGUUAUGCGUGUGACGGUAUCUAACCAGAAAGCCACGGCUAACUACGUGCCAGCAGCCGCGGUAAUACGUAGGUGGCAAGCGUUGUCCGGAUUUAUUGGGCGUAAAGCGAGCGCAGGCGGUGAAUUAAGUCUGAUGUGAAAGCCCCCGGCUCAACCGGGGAGGGUCAUUGGAAACUGGUUGACUUGAGGGCAGAAGGGGAGAGUGGAAUUCCAUGUGUAGCGGGGAAAUGCGUAGAUAUAUGGAGGAACACCAGUGGGGAAGGCGACUCUCUGGUCUGUAACUGACGCUGGGGCUCGAAAGCGUGGGUAGCAAACAGG
RNAcentral lists this ribosomal RNA (429 nucleotides) under Bacteroidota bacterium. RNAcentral's name for it is "Bacteroidetes bacterium partial 16S ribosomal RNA". It matches the Rfam family "Bacterial small subunit ribosomal RNA", at positions 355 to 776 of the family's 1533-position model. The record is from RNAcentral. Lineage: Bacteria; Pseudomonadati; Bacteroidota.